Molecule: ribosomal RNA, 512 nt
Filed under: uncultured bacterium
Lineage: Bacteria
Description: partial 16S ribosomal RNA
Rfam family: Bacterial small subunit ribosomal RNA
Source: RNAcentral
AACGAACGCUGGCGGCGUGCCUAAUACAUGCAAGUCGAGCGGACAGAAGGGAGCUUGCUCCCGGAUGUUAGCGGCGGACGGGUGAGUAACACGUGGGUAACCUGCCUGUAAGACUGGGAUAACUCCGGGAAACCGGAGCUAAUACCGGAUAGUUCCUUGAACCGCAUGGUUCAAGGAUGAAAGACGGUUUCGGCUGUCACUUACAGAUGGACCCGCGGCGCAUUAGCUAGUUGGUGAGGUAACGGCUCACCAAGGCGACGAUGCGUAGCCGACCUGAGAGGGUGAUCGGCCACACUGGGACUGAGACACGGCCCAGACUCCUACGGGAGGCAGCAGUAGGGAAUCUUCCGCAAUGGACGAAAGUCUGACGGAGCAACGCCGCGUGAGUGAUGAAGGUUUUCGGAUCGUAAAGCUCUGUUGUUAGGGAGGAACAAGUGCAAGAGUAACUGCUUGCACCUUGACGGUACCUAACCAGAAAGCCACGGCUAACUACGUGCCAGCAGCCGCCGUAA